CCUACGGGAGGCAGCAGUGGGGAAUUUUGGACAAUGGGGGCAACCCUGAUCCAGCCAUGCCGCGUGAGUGAAGAAGGCCUUCGGGUUGUAAAGCUCUUUCAGCCGGGAAGAAAGCGCACUCUCUAACAUAGGGUGUGGAUGACGGUACCGGAAGAAGAAGCACCGGCUAACUACGUGCCAGCAGCCGCGGUAAUACGUAGGGUGCGAGCGUUAAUCGGAAUUACUGGGCGUAAAGGGUGCGCAGGCGGUUUUGUAAGACAGAUGUGAAAUCCCCGGGCUUAACCUGGGAACUGCGUUUGUGACUGCAAGGCUAGAGUACGGCAGAGGGGGGUGGAAUUCCGCGUGUAGCAGUGAAAUGCGUAGAUAUGCGGAGGAACACCGAUGGCGAAGGCAACCCCCUGGGCCUGUACUGACGCUCAUGCACGAAAGCGUGGGGAGCAAACAGGAUUAGAUACCCUGGUAGUCCACGCCCUAAACGAUGUCAACUAGUCGUUCGGAGCAGCAAUGCACUGAGUGACGCAGCUAACGCGUGAAGUUGACCGCCUGGGGAGUACGGCCGCAAGGUUAAACUCAAAGGAAUUGACGG
RNAcentral lists this ribosomal RNA (586 nucleotides) under uncultured bacterium. RNAcentral describes it as "bacterial SSU rRNA". It matches the Rfam family "Bacterial small subunit ribosomal RNA", at positions 338 to 916 of the family's 1533-position model. The record is from RNAcentral.